This 518-nucleotide ribosomal RNA is filed under the name uncultured bacterium. RNAcentral describes it as "bacterial SSU rRNA". It matches the Rfam family "Bacterial small subunit ribosomal RNA", at positions 28 to 534 of the family's 1533-position model. The record is from RNAcentral.
GAUGAACGCUAGCGAUAGGCCUAACACAUGCAAGUCGAGGGGCAUCACAUGAAGUAGCAAUACGGAUGGUGGCGACCGGCGCACGGGUGAGUAACACGUAUGCAACCUGCCUUCAACAAGGGGAUAACCCGUUGAAAGACGGACUAAUACCCUAUAACACAGGGGUCCCGCAUGGGAAUAUUUGUUAAAGGACAACCGGUUGAAGAUGGGCAUGCGUUCCAUUAGCUAGUUGGCGGGGUAACGGCCCACCAAGGCAACGAUGGAUAGGGGAACUGAGAGGUUUAUCCCCCACACUGGUACUGAGACACGGACCAGACUCCUACGGGAGGCAGCAGUGAGGAAUAUUGGUCAAUGGACGCAAGUCUGAACCAGCCACGUCGCGUGAAGGAAGACGGCCCUACGGGGUUGUAAACUUCUUUUAUACGGGAAUAAAGUGCCCCCACGCGUGGGGUUUUGCAUGUACCGUAUGAAUAAGGAUCGGCUAACUCCGUGCCAGCAGCCGCGGUAAAUACUGACUC